RNAcentral lists this long non-coding RNA (5766 nucleotides) under Sus scrofa (pig). RNAcentral's name for it is "lncRNA (ENSSSCG00025014283.1)". Lineage: Eukaryota; Metazoa; Chordata; Mammalia; Artiodactyla; Suidae. The record is from RNAcentral.
GGGGCCGCGCCUCCGCUCCCGGAAGCCGCACCAGCCGCCGCCGGGCCCGCCGGUCACCGGUGUGUGAGUCAGGGUCCUGGCAGCAAGCACACUCAAGUGGAUUUGGGAAAGAGCUGGAUGAAGAGACUAUUUACAGAGGUGGAAGAAAAAUCUGAUGCAGCAGAUUCCCUCUGGAUAGAACCACUCAGGAGAGAAGGUCCUGGGGCCACUUUCAGUUGGCCUGGCUCUCUUCGAGCCCCAGUCAUCACCAUGGGCAUAGCAUGCUUCCUUUCUGGGCCUUGUUCUUCCAUCUGUCAAAUGAAAAUGAUAUCAUCCUAGACAUCCUUGACCGCAUCCCCUGCCUCCGACAGUGGCCGUGAAGAUCAAAUGAGAUAAUGGAUGAGAAAACUGAGGCCUGGAGAUGGGAAGGGACCUCCGAGGCACAUCAGCAGGAAAUGACUUUCCAGUUCUGGGGUAGUGAACCUGGGUCAGCGGCAGCAGGUGGCUUGGAGGAACCUAAAAUAAGAGGCACCGGAGAACAGACAAGCCUCAGGAAAGCAAUAUUAAACUUGAACAGGGCCUCAUAAAGGUUUCUGUAGUUGAAUCAAGUUAAAGCAAGUUUGGAUCCAAAGGUCUGGUGACUCUUCUAAACGUACUCACACAUCUGGAUAUUGGACUGAGUUCCAGUAGAUCUGUCCUUGAGGAUCAUCUGGGGACACACUUUUGUGCAAAAAAGAAAGAAAUGAUGAAUUAUCAUGUAGACGAUGUGAUCAGGUGUUCAUUAUUAGAAGGCAGAAUAAGACAGAGGCCAUAUUACCAGAUAAGGCUUCCACAUCAUCAGGGGAAAUGGGAUGUUUGUAUUUUGUUAUCUUUGAAGCUCAGGGCCAAAGCAAAGCUUGGAAUAUGGAAAGUUUUCACCAAAGUUGGCUGAAUGAAGGGAUGAGUUCUGGAGAAAUCUCAUGACUGGAGAAAGCCUCGCCGGUCACAACUCUUACAUCUGGUUUGGAAGAAUGUUGGUGGCAAAAUAAUAAACAAGACUUCCUGCAAAAACUUUUGACAUCAAGCUGACCAGAAACAUACCAGAUCCACGUUACCAGCUGGAUUAAAACCAAGGACAGGCUCAGCAGCAAUUUUAAUGGUUAAGAAUUAGGGUUUGGGGGCUAUGACGGUGGCUUGCCAGCAGUGCCUGAUUUAACCAUCCCCCUUUCCCAUAGAAAUACUCCAAAACACACAGUAAGACUUAAAAUUACAAGUCUGGAGGGAAUGACUUCCAUGAAUUAUUUGCCGGUCUCUGAGAGUGUUUUUUCUCUGACCGCAUCAUAAUGGGAUGAGAAGAAAAGAAGUAGUAAUACUGUGAGGUGAAAAGAGGAAAGGUGAGAGAAGCAAGAUUUUUUUGAGUACCAGCAGCAGAUGAGCCCCAUGAUAGACCCAUUAUCCACAUUGUGUCAUUUGAUCUUGGAACCUCAGCAUUUUGAAACUCUGUUUAUGGAUGAAGAGAUUCAGAGAAGUGAAGGGGAUUCUUGCCUGUGAGGAAGUAGUUGAAGCUCUAUUUUAAUGAGACUUUGUCUCACUCAAUUUUCUCAGGCUGUUUGACUCUUCAAGAGGUUUUAUUUGACGUUCUUAUUUGGUAAACAAUGUGCCGUGUGGAUGCAGUGAGUCACUUACCUUCUCUGAGCCUCAGUUUCUGGAUCUCUACAUCUGUCUCCUUGUAGAUUGUGCCUAGUCACCCUAGUCUUCCCUUUGGAUUCUUACAGAAAUCCAAUUUUCCUGAACAGGGCAGUCCUUUAAAAUUGUGAAUAUAAUGUGUUUUCCCCUCAUUUUUGGAAUCAUGUGGUUGCUCCAAAAGCAAAUGAUAUCUCAGGGCAUUAAAAGAAGUAUAGUGCCUGAAAUAAGGGAGGGAAUUUUUUUUUUUUCUGAUCAUAACACCUCCAGAAUCAAAGAUUCAGCUCAGAGACUAGGAGGUGUGAAAGAAGUAGAUGAAUGAGUAUGCAUUACAAAAAGAUCUUCCAUAGUACUGGUCUUGCUAAAAGAGGAAUAUAGAUGUAAAACAGACCUCUUUUUAUUCCUUUAAAUAGCUUUCUCCAGAGUUCCCUUUGAAACUAUACUCUUAGAGGGCAUAUGGAAUUGCACACUGAAAUCCCAGGCAACUUCAAGGCUAUAAAGGGAUAUAGCUGAGAAGUUGGGGAAUAUGUAGUAGGAAGUAUCUAAACUUUGGAGCUGGUCUUUUAGCUAUAAAAUGGAUUGGUAUCAAGGAAUUUCCAGUACCUACUGGGGCAUGACCUUGAGAAAAUGCUUUUCUUCUUUGGACAUCUAUUUCUUCAUUUGCCAAAUGAAAACAUUAGAUUAGAUUCUGGGAAGGCAGAUUGGUUUCAUCACAUAAACAUGGCCACUACAUGAAGCUUCAUGUGGAGAAGAUGUAUGAGACUAUGUCUGGGUUCAACAAUAAAGAUCUUUGUGAGUGAUGAAUGAUAAGUAGUCAAGGAAGCAAGUGACAGAAAUCCAAAUGGAACUGCUAUAAAUAAAAAGAGAAUGUAUUGACUCAUUAACACAGGUGCCUACAGGGAGAACUGCCUGAGACCCAAGGGCACACAUGUUGUUGGAGCUCUUCUCUCUCCAUCCCUGGUCUCCGUCUGACUUUGGUUGGCUCCUUUUCCCAAAAAGCCUGUUUUUACUGGAUGGGCAAUAUGGCUGCUCACAGCCCCAGCACUCACAUGCAUUUACCUUAGCAACCUCCAAGGAAAGAGAUAACUUUCCAGUUAACUUUGGUAGAAAAGUCCUGGGUGGCUUUUGAUUGGCUAGGUUCGGGUAAUUUGUCCAUACCCAAACUAAACAGUGUGGGCAGGAGAGAGGGUACUUUGGCUAGUCCUCAGUCACAUGUUCUCAGUCUUGAGCCAUGGGGAUUGGGCACUGUGAUUGGUAGCCCCACCUAGAUCUCACAGAAUGAGGAGAUCUAUCCUUUCUUUUCUGUAAAGCUUUUGAUUUCUCCUUUAAAUCUGAAUGAGAGCUGGGUAGAGUAUUCCUAAUUGUAGGUUUUUCCCUUUCAUCAGUUUAAAUAUAUUGUACCACUCCCUUCUGGCCUACAGAGUUUCUGCUAGAAAAUUACCUGAUACCCUUGGGGGUGUUCCCUUGUGUGGUAUUUGUUACUUUCUCCCUGAUGAUUUUAGUAUUCUCUCUUUAUUUUUAAUUUUUGUCAUUUUGAUUAGUAUGUCUUGGUGUGUUUCUUUUUGGGUUAAUCCUGUGUGGGGCACUCUAUGCUUCCUGUGCUUGGGUGACUGUUUCCUUUCCCAAGUUAGGGAAGUUUUCAGCUAUUAUGUCUUCAAAUAUGUUCACAGCCCCUUUGCCUUUCUUUUCUUUGUCUAGAAUCUCUAUGGUGUGAAUAUUAAUGUGCUUGAUGUUGUGCCAGUGGUCUCUUAAAUCUGUCCUUAUUUCUUUUCAUUCUUUUUUUUUGGUACAGUGGCAGUGAUUUCCACUACUUUAUCUUCCAGCUCACUGAUUCAUUCUUCUUCAUCUUUUUUUUUUUUCUUUUUCUUUUAGGGCUGUACCUGUGGCCUAUGGACGUUCCCAGGCUAGGGGUUGCAUUGGAGAGGCAGCUGCCAGCUUAUGCCACAGCCACAGCAAUGCCAGAUCCAGUCUACAUCUAUGACGUACCCUGAAGCUCACAGCAAUGCUGGAUCCUUAACUCAUUGAGCAAGGCCAGGGAUUGAACCUGUAUCCUCAUGGAUACUAGUUGGGUUCUUAACCUGCUGAGCCACAAUGGGAACUCCUGGUCCAUUCUUCUGUAUCAUUUAGCCUACUACUGAUUCUUUCUAGUGUAUAUUGUAUUCUUCAUAUGUAGUUGUUCUUUAUAUUUUCUCUUUGUUAAAAACUUAUAUUUUCUUGCCCUGUACAUCCAUUUUACCCUUGAGUGCUUUGAUUAUCUUUAUGAGCAUUACUCUAAACUCUUUCUCAGAUGGAUUGCCUAACUUCACUUAGUUCUUCUCUGGGGUUUUAUCUUGUUCCUUCAUCUGGGACAUAUUCCUGGGUUGCUUCAUUUUCUCUAAGUUGUUAUCCAUAUUUUUGUGUAUGUGGUAGAUUAGUUAUGUUUCUCAACCUUGGAGAAGUGGUCCUCUAUGUCCUAUGUAUCCCAGCAGUGCACUCCCCUCUUGUCACCCAAGCCAUGUGCUCUAGGGGUUCCCCAUAAGAGGCUGCGUGGGUCCUUUCGUUGUGGGGGCUGACUAUAUGAGUGGUCUGGUAGGCUUGGUUGAUCUCUUGUCUGGCUUGUUGCCAGGGCUUGCCUUGUGUGAAUGCUGCUGGCUGUUUUUUAUUGGGGCCUGGUCACAAGGUGGCUGGCUGUGGAAUCCUAGGGAUCUCUGGGGCUAGUGCUGGCUCGCUGGUGAGUAGAGUCAGGCUCCUGAAGACUCUGGGGCUGUGGUCCAGCCCCUGGCAAGUGAAGCCAGAUUCUCAGGUUAGUGCCAGACUACAGUCAAGCAGAGCUGGUUCCUGGAGUCUCACUGCAGGGGCCUGGGGAUACCAGAGUUUGUUUCAGAUCUGAGGAUGGGGGAGAGUUCCUGACACAGUUGAGCAUGGGGUCUGCAGUGUCCCAAAGGUUGCAUUGGCUUGCCUGUGGGCAGGGCUACAUCCCAGUUGGUCCCAGGACAGGGUCUGGCCUAGGCUGAGAGAUCAUAGUUUUCUUGCUUCUGGUGUCUGCUCCUGGUGAGUGGAGAAGAGUCUUGGUGGGCAGGGCCAUGUCUAGAGGUGGCUGUGGGGUCUUUAUUCUUUAGGCAGUCUGUGUGGCAAUGGGCGGGAUUUUGUCCUCACCCAGUUAUUUGUUUGUCCUGAGGUGUUCCAGCACUGGUGUCUGCAGGAUGUUGGAUGGACGAUGUCUUGGUGCUAAUAAGUCAAUAUGUCAGCAGCCAGGAGUUUGUAUGCUGCUGAAUGUUCCCCAAUAUGUCUGCUACUGGUGUCUAUGUCUAUGAGCCACAGCCACCCCUACCUCCCCAGGAGACUCUCCAAGACCAGCAGGUGUAGGUAUGGCCCACCCAGGCUCCUAUAAAAUUACUGCUUUUGCCCUGGGUCUUGGUAUGCAUGAGAUUUUGUAUGUGCCCUUUAAGAGUAAACUCUCUAUUUCCCCUAGUCCUGUGGAGCUCUCAAAAUUAAGCCUUGCUGGCCUUCAAAGCCAAAUGCUCUGGGGACUUGUCUUCCAGUGCUAAAUCUCCAGUCCAGGGGGCCUGACAUAGGGCUCAGAACUCUCACUCCUGUGGGAGAACCUCUUCACUGUAAUUAUUCUCCAGUUUGUGGCUCACCCACCUGGGGUUAUGGGAUUUGAUUAGAUCGUGAGUCUACCCCUCCUAUCGAUCUUGUUGUGGUUCCUUCUCUAGUUGUAGAAGAUCUUUUUUGGUAGGUUCUAGGCUUUUUAAUCAAUGGUUGUUCUGCAGAUAGUGUAAUUUUGGGCUACUUGUGAGGGGAAGUGAGCUCGUGAUCCUUCUACUCCCCCAUCUCCAUUGCUCUAGGUGCAUUCUCUCUCUUAAAAGACAACCAAAAAGCUAUUCCUAGCAGAGAGGGUUUGGGAGAGCCAUUUGAGCGGAAGAAACCCUCCAGCUGGGUGUAACAACACUUGUAUCAGUGGGAGGCAAUUGUUAUCACACAGGCCACAUAUUCUUCAUCACAGGAUAUGAUAAGCUCUCACAACUCUUCAAUUCUACCCUUAUGAGUAAAUAGCUCAAACAAACAGCACUGCUCUGACAUCCAGGAGGCCUACGUUGUACUCCCAGCGUGACUAAUACCAAUUAAAUGAAUGGUGAGACCAGC